Molecule: transfer RNA, 66 nt
Filed under: Phialocephala subalpina
Lineage: Eukaryota; Fungi; Ascomycota; Leotiomycetes; Helotiales; Mollisiaceae
Rfam family: tRNA
About the family: Transfer RNA (tRNA) molecules are approximately 80 nucleotides in length. Their secondary structure includes four short double-helical elements and three loops (D, anti-codon, and T loops).
Source: Rfam by way of RNAcentral
GGUGUAAUGGUUAGCACAUCGGAUUUUGAAAUUCAAAGUUUCCGGGGAUCUGGGUUCGAUUCCCAG